Molecule: ribosomal RNA, 405 nt
Filed under: uncultured bacterium
Lineage: Bacteria
Description: bacterial SSU rRNA
Rfam family: Bacterial small subunit ribosomal RNA
Source: RNAcentral
UGGGGAAUAUUGCACAAUGGGCGAAAGCCUGAUGCAGCGACGCCGCGUGAGUGAGGAAGUAUUUCGGUAUGUAAAGCUCUAUCAGCAGGGAAGAAAGAAAUGACGGUACCUGAGUAAGAAGCUCCGGCUAAAUACGUGCCAGCAGCCGCGGUAAUACGUAUGGAGCAAGCGUUAUCCGGAUUUACUGGGUGUAAAGGGAGCGUAGGCGGCAGAGCAAGUCUGAUGUGAAAGCCCGGGGCUCAACCCCGGUAGUGCAUUGGAAACUGUUCAGCUUGAGUGUCGGAGGGGUAAGCGGAAUUCCUGGUGUAGCGGUGAAAUGCGUAGAUAUCAGGAAGAACACCGGAGGCGAAGGCGGCUUACUGGACGAUUACUGACGCUGAGGCUCGAAAGCGUGGGGAGCGAACA